UUUUGUAUGUGUAUGUGUAUCUGGAGCUGUAUUGUGGAAGUGAAAGGAAUUAUUUCUGGGUCGGUGACUCCACCACCUCCCUGGGCAGCCCAUUUCAGCACCUGACCACUCUCUUGGAGGAUUUCCUAACAUGCAACCUGAAUCUCCCCCGGCGCAACUUGAGGCCAUGCAUCUGUUCAUUUACAUGAAGUUUUAGAUUUUAAGAGUGGCUCCCAUUUAUUUUGCCCCGCAUAGAAUGCACAGUUAUUUAACUACACUUUUCCUGGUGCCAGUGUUGAGAAGAAGUGAAGCUGGAGUGAGUAUGUUAAAUGAGACUAUCAAGGAGUUGCAGGGCCACAUUCAAUGAGUCUGCAGACAGAAACUGUACUAUCUGAGAAAUACUCUUUGUCCUACAAAGGAAAAAGUGCCAGGAAUAUCCUGAUUGCAGGAAUGAUAUGUGUAAUGCGUCGAAACUCUCAUCACUUGAAGAGUCCAUUAUGGAAUUAUAUCUUUAUAUCUUUAACUCAUGUGCAAAACCAAUAUGAAGAAUGUUCGUGCUGCAGUUGGUUGAGAAGAACAAUGCAAUAUUCAAGGAACAAGUGUGUGAACCAGGUUUGGAACAAGCAAAGAGUUUUAUAAAUGACGGAUGUGGAAGGUACCCUUGAAGUGUGCAACUGCAGAAAAAAAUUGAGUAUGAAUGUUUCUGAGCAGAAAGUGAUGAUGGCAUGUGAGUGAGUCUGAUCUUACAGAAGAUGGGUUAUGUUGUCAGUGCAAAAUAUACAUAGAUGGAAUAAGAUGAAUUAAGUAAAUAAAUGGGAAGAAAAAAGUUGAACUGGAUGUACUCAGCCUUCAUUGAAAAGAUAGGUGGCAAGAAACAUGCUGGUACCUCUAUCCUCUCCCACUUUAAGUCUUUGGUAUCCAGAAGAUGCACCACGGUGAGCAGGAUAAGUGUAAACAUUGGGGUUUUUUAAGCCUUUAUUUUCAAAAGCAGUUAAGUAUGCAACUAUGUGAUACAGAUGUUUAGCAACUUCAAAUUACUUUAAAAUUGUUUGCAUUGUUGUUUUUAUUCUUUAUUUCCUAUCUUGAGAUUCACACUAGUUACUAUAUUGUUCUAAAGUAACUGUUAUAAUUAAUUUUUUUCUGAUUAGGAAAAUUGGAUUUUUCAU
This is a long non-coding RNA of Tympanuchus pallidicinctus (lesser prairie-chicken), 1145 nucleotides long. RefSeq lists it as uncharacterized. The transcript is spliced from 5 exons. The record is from RefSeq and is a predicted model, not a curated record. NCBI's taxonomy places the organism in Eukaryota, Metazoa, Chordata, Aves, Galliformes, Phasianidae.